Molecule: ribosomal RNA, 468 nt
Filed under: uncultured bacterium
Lineage: Bacteria
Description: partial 16S ribosomal RNA
Rfam family: Bacterial small subunit ribosomal RNA
Source: RNAcentral
GACGAACGCUGGCGGCGUGCUUAACACAUGCAAGUCGAGCGGAAAGGCCCUGCUUUUGUGGGGUGCUCGAGUGGCGAACGGGUGAGUAACACGUGAGUAACCUGCCCUUGACUUUGGGAUAACUUCAGGAAACUGGGGCUAAUACCGGAUAGGAGCUCCUGCUGCAUGGUGGGGGUUGGAAAGUUUCGGCGGUUGGGGAUGGACUCGCGGCUUAUCAGCUUGUUGGUGGGGUAGUGGCUUACCAAGGCUUUGACGGGUAGCCGGCCUGAGAGGGUGACCGGCCACAUUGGGACUGAGAUACGGCCCAGACUCCUACGGGAGGCAGCAGUGGGGAAUAUUGCACAAUGGGCGGAAGCCUGAUGCAGCAACGCCGCGUGCGGGAUGACGGCCUUCGGGUUGUAAACCGCUUUCGCCUGUGACGCAGCGUGAGUGACGGUAAUGGGUAAAGAAGCACCGGCUAACUACGUG